AGAGGCCCUCCGUGGCCGGGGUGGAAUGCUUGCCUCGUCACCACAGCGACAUAGCAAGAAUUCCACCAGGCCUCUCAUGCUGCCUGC
Molecule: non-coding RNA, 87 nt
Organism: Myotis brandtii (Brandt's bat)
Lineage: Eukaryota; Metazoa; Chordata; Mammalia; Chiroptera; Vespertilionidae
Source: Rfam